UAGGGAAUCUUCCGCAAUGGACGCAAGUCUGACGGAGCAACGCCGCGUGAGUGAAGAAGGAUUUCGGUUCGUAAAACUCUGUUGUUAGAGAAGAACAGCGCAUAGAGUAACUGUUAUGCGUGUGACGGUAUCUAACCAGAAAGCCACGGCUAACUACGUGCCAGCAGCCGCGGUAAUACGUAGGUGGCAAGCGUUGUCCGGAUUUAUUGGGCGUAAAGCGAGCGCAGGCGGUUAGAUAAGUCUGAAGUUAAAGGCAGUGGCUCAACCAUUGUAGGGUUUGGAAACUGUUUAACUUGAGUGCAGAAGGGGAGAGUGGAAUUCCAUGUGUGGCGGUGAAAUGCGUAGAUAUAUGGAGGAACACCGGUGGCGAAAGCGGCUCUCUGGUCUGUAACUGACGCUGAGGCUCGAAAGCGUGGGGAGCGAACAGG
RNAcentral lists this ribosomal RNA (428 nucleotides) under Bacteroidota bacterium. RNAcentral's name for it is "Bacteroidetes bacterium partial 16S ribosomal RNA". It matches the Rfam family "Bacterial small subunit ribosomal RNA", at positions 355 to 776 of the family's 1533-position model. Lineage: Bacteria; Pseudomonadati; Bacteroidota. The record is from RNAcentral.